Non-coding RNA from Odocoileus virginianus texanus, 5333 nucleotides. Lineage: Eukaryota; Metazoa; Chordata; Mammalia; Artiodactyla; Cervidae. The record is from RefSeq and is a predicted model, not a curated record.
UUCAAUCUUUUCCAGAAUCAGGGCCUUUUCCAAUGACUAGCUAUUCUAGUCAUCCACAAUAAAUGACAUUGUCAUGACUUCAAUGACAAUAAUGUUCGAGGAGCUUCUAGUCCAUCAAUGUACCUAUUUGUAUUUCUAGCUUUGACACAGAAUGAAAUGUUUGAAUCCUUCAAAAAUGUGUAUGUUGAAAUCUAGUCUCUAACCUUAUGGUAUUUGAAGGUGGGGUCUCUGGGGAGUCAUUAGGUCACAAAGGGAGAACUCUGGUGAAUGAGACUAGUGCCCUUAUAAAAGAGACUCCUAAGAACUCCCUUGUGAAGUUCCACCAUAUGAAGUUACAAUGGAAAGAAGGACAUUUGUGAACCAGGAAGUGGUCCUCACCAGACAUCACAUCUGCUGGUGCCUUCAUCUUGGACCACUAGCCUCCAGAACUGUUAAGAAAAAUAGGUUUUUGUUGUUGUUUAUAAGCAACCCAUAUUACAGUACUUUAUUACAGCAGCCUGAACUGACUACCCCCUAAUAUAAAAAGAAGUCUAUUAAAAUUUCAACAGCCAAUGAGUUAAUAGCCUAGAGUAGGGGCUGACAAAUGUUUUACGUAAAGGGUCAGAUGGUAAAUAUAUUAGGCUUUGCGGAUCACAACUACUUAUUAUGUGGAGCACCAAAGCAGCUGCAAUAGGAUAAUAGGAUGAAUUAGUGCAUGGCAUCAGCUGAUUUCCAAUAAAACUUCAUUUAUAGAUACUAAAAUGUGAACUUAUGAAAUCUUUCAUGUGCCAUGGAACAUUAUUCUUGCCUUUUAAAAAACCAUUUAAAAAUAUAAACACAAUUCUGAGUUCAAUAGAUAUAGUAAAAUAGGCAGGAACCAAAAUUGGCCCUCAGGUCACUGUUUGUGGACCCCCUGGCUAGAGUACCGAGUGGAUGAAGCCCUGGCCAGAGUCCAUAGCUGUGUGAACUUGUUUCUUCUGUUCUGAUCUGUUGGUUAUUCUUUGGUCAUAAAUUGCACUUCUACCUCCAGCCCACCACCAUGCAAAUACACUGGGAAGCAGGAACAAAGAUGAAUGAGAUUCACUGCAAAAUCACUGUUCCUGCAGACAUAUUACGUGUUCACACUGUGUAUUCUGUAGGGGAUAUACUACAAACAUCAACUAAGGCUCAGACCUACCAUCGGACAGGAGAGGCCCUUCCCCAUUGCCAAUGCAUCAGCUUCCUCAUGGAUACAUCUAAACUUGACAGAAUGUACCCACGAGAGGUCCUGCAUAGCCUUGCCAGGAAAUAGAAGUUAAAUUUUUAAAUACUGUUUUUAGUCACACUGCAGAUCUUGCUGGUGAAUAUCAUUUUAUCACUGAUUCAUACAGUGGAAUUGUUUUCUUCAUCAAUUUUGAGCUUAUUAACAGAGUCAAUUCAAUUCUGGUCUUCUGCUUUCUUCCAACUAAGUUGCAUGAAAGAGGUAAGAGAAGUCAAUGGUUAAUAGAAAGCUAUGGAUGUUAAGAGGUUUAAUCUAUUAAUAUAGGGCAGCAUUUCCCAAAGCGUGUUAGGCUAAUGCUGACUCUGUCAGAUGUUCUGCCAAAAAAAGCAUUUCAAGGUCAAAUAAGUUUAGGAAAUGUGGCAUAAAAUCUCUCUUCUGUCUUGAUGAUUCUUAAAGAGCAUUAAUAGUGUAUUAAAGGUUCCAAGGACUCUUGAAAUAAAACUGCUUAAUUAGGUUAAACUGUUCCUUACACUUACAAGAUCAGGAAGCUUUUCUUUUUCUUUACUUGACUAUUAUUAACAUCCCAAGAAACUAAUGAUCCAUAGACUAUAUUUCUGGGAAACAUUGAUACAGAAAAGGUGGAAGAAUGGAAAGCUUCUACGCAAGGGAGUAAGUUAUGCUAUAGAGCAAUCACUUGCAUAAGGAUCAGGCCUUUCUGUCUGAGUUUUUGUCAUUUUAGAUUAUCCCAUAUGCUACACAUGUGUUCAAGUCAGAAAAACAGGAGUCACAUUGGUUGUGGAGGAAACCUCUUAGAAAAUUGUAAAGUGUGUGCACAUUUCAUAAAUAAUCUCAAUAUUACAAAGGAUAAUACAAAAAGCAUAUUAUUUUCUUCUCUCUCACCCCAUUGCCAACAGCCUGGCAUAUUUUUCAGAGGUACCAGGCAGUGUUAUAAGUUUCCAUGUCACUUUUCAGUUCUUCUGUGAAAACUCUAAAUUCUAUGCUUCAGGGACAAUAGUUUUGAGUUAUAAAAACUCAGCAAUAUCUACUGAAGGAAUUUCUUCUUACACUUCUUUCCUCUGCCACCUCUCAUCACCAGUCUUUCCCCAAGGUCUAUCAAUUUGACUUGCGAAAUGCACUUCAGGUGUGCCCACUUCUCUCCAUUUCCCUGGCCAGCACAGUCGCUGGCUGUGUCCUAACUGUAUUCUACUUUUCAUUCUUGAUCCAUUCUCUUUAUUGCAGCCACAAAGGUAUCCUUAAAAUGUAAAUUACCCUCUGGCUUCAAAAUCUUCUCAUUAAAAUAAAAUUCACCAUCUUUAUCAAGAUCUGUGAGGAUCUGCAUGACCAGGCUCCUGCCUACCCACCCCCACAAAACACAAACACAUACACACUCUCACACAUUCAUGUCUAGCCUCUCAGAAACUCCCUUAUCCAACACACAUGCCUUCCUUUUAUCCUUGAACACUUCCAAGCUUUUCUUCUCUUUACAGAUUUCCUACUUGCUAUUUCCUCUACCUAAAUUGCAUUUACCUCCUUUUUUCUUUUUUUUUUUGCCACGUGAAUCCCUGUGCCUCCUUCAAAUAUUAAUUUAAAUCUUUCCUUUUCAGAGACCUUCAGUUCAGUUCAGUUCAGUUCAGUCACUCAGUCGUGUCUGACUCUUUGCCUUCACAGAGCACCAAAUCUGAAUCAGCCCGUUUUUUUUUUCACAGCCCCUUGUUCUUCUCCACACUACUUCUAACAAUGUGCUAUUAUAUAUUUAUUUUUUACUGUCUGUAAGAUCUAAGAGAUCUUACACAUCUUGUUUUAUUCCACACUAAAUGCAGGAAAACUGUCAUUUGUGUCUGGUCACAGAAUGGGCUUAAAAUUACAUAUUACAUGAUUAAAAUUAGCCAGUGGAAAGUUCUUUUUAUCUCCUGCCUUUUUCUUAUGUGAAACUUUAGACCCUUCCAGAUUUCCAUGUUUUGCACGCUUAUCACCCAAAAGGCUCAUUCAUUCAUCUCUAUUAGAAGGCGAACUUUAAGGACCAACUCAUGUAACUCUUCUCUUAAGCUUCACCAACCAGUUUGGUUUACUUUACUCUCUAGUUAGGAACUUAUUGUAUUUAUUUUCUGUACCAUUCAUUUGGUGCCUAAUCUCAUAUUGGCUUGUAACAACUUAUCAGGUGUGUUAAUUAACAACUUAUAUUUACAUAUGCGGUCUUGCCAAUGAUGUCAUAAAUCUAUGGAGUACAGAACUUGUUACUUAAUACUCCACAGUUUACAGCAUGCCUGCCUCUGCACAGAGCAGCUGAAUGAGAGUCCCCAUCCACCUGCUUUUAACGCCUCAACUUUAAGACUUUAAUAUGGAAAUAUGACCCAUUUCCUUUCAGUUUAUUUUCUUUCUCAACCCUGUGUGUUGCCAUUUCCUUUCUUUCAGAAAGGACCCAUUUCCUUUCAGGCUAUUUCUUCCUCAAUCAGUGUGUUGCCAUCAUGCUGGGAAUGAAAGCUGUGAACAUGUUUAUAAUAGUUCUCCAACCCUUCUGAUGUACUUAACCAGAUUUCCUCAAGCUACUUCUGAAACACGGAGUAGAAAAAUUUUAUCAGAUCCUGAAGUGCUCUGUUAACAAAAGAAAAUAAAGCAUUAAGAAUUCCUCUUCAAGAGUAAUGAAUGUUGUCAAAGAGACCAAACACAGUGUCACAAGAGACUGGCAGAGGAGGCAUGCUGGUGCCAAUGUACACUAAUGUUCCUUCAGAGGUUGUGUUUGUUCACGCAUAAGUUUUCAUAAGCACUCAAGAAUUAACACAAAGACAAAGAGUUCUUAGGGCUGCCCAGAUGUUGCCAGAAAGAAGUAACAUCUGAUUGCAUUUUUGGAAGAUAGUAAAGCAAACGGUGAGACAUUCAAGGUGACGUUGAGAUGCUCAAGAUGACUUUCUUCACAAACCCCAAAGUGAUACCCAAACAUGACCCUAAUAUGAGGUAUUUUAUUUUUUUCACCACCUUAACAGAAGCGUCUCCCUCUUCUGCAAUUAGAUGUUACACUCACUCUUUUAAGGAGAAAUGUCUCACUGUAAGAUUUACCAACUCAUGCUGAUUUAUACUAAUUUUAUAGAUAACUAUAACUCAGAAAUAGGAGUAAGGUGGGAAUUUGUUAACAGAACAGGUGUAGAAGAUGCUCUCAGAAAAGGGAAAAGAGUACUCUAAAGACCUGUGCCCUGAGAAAUACAACAGAAGAAAGGCUGUGAGUCUUGAGUCUGGCUGGUAAAAACCGAUCCCAUCUCCUAGAAAAUUCACAUACAAAUGGUCCUUAACAUGGAUUUUACUUUAAGACCUGCUCCUUCCGUUUGAGUGGCUGACUUAAAACUAUAUUUAGUCUCUUUGCCCUUUUCCAUUAAAUAGGCUUCUCAGCCAAAUCUCCAAGUCAUAUGAAUACAGAUACAGAGAGAUGGGUAAUUGAAACCUCAAGAUAAUUCUCACAUUUCCAUUUGCACAGCGUGUCAAACAGUUCUUGAUGCAGCCUUUAACAAGUAGGAAGACACGAUUCACUUGAGAUUUAGGUCACUCUGCAGUCCCCACUCUCAUCCCUGUUCAUGUCACAAUGGGGCAAUACAUAAUUCAACCGGCCGCCAAAGCUCCGGCAGAUCCAGAAAGAACCUUGGUUGCUCACACCUAGUAAGUCCAUCCAUGGAAGAAUAAGUGUUCAUAAUUCUACCCAUCCCGAGAGGUGAAAGAGUAGGAGGCUGGCAGGGUGAUAGCAGCCUUCCCUCAAGCCCAUCCGCACCUGUGGUAAUCUGGUACCCGCUUACCUGCUCUCUCCAAGAUGACCAGGCCCAGCAAGAAGAGGUGGAACACAGCUGAUGGGGUGAGACGCCGCCCAGGCCCAUUGCAGUCUAGGGGUCGGUAAGCGGCGACACCCGAGCAGGGGGAUUCUUGCGGGCACAGCCCAAGGAAAAACUGGCGCCUUCAUCAGGGAAGACUUGUAAGGGGACAGACACGCACAGGAGUGGCUUGUCACAGUUCUGAGCCAGGACGUACUCAAAAACAGCAGUCAACGCCCAGGCUCUUUUCUUGGACAAUAUGGGAUAUAAGAAGAAAAGCCAAAAAAGGAAUAUUGUCCUAUAAGUUGUCUUCAUUUUCCUCAUUACAACAAUCAGCAUACAAAUAAAUAAAAUUUAAUUCA